GCUAGUGUGGUAUAGUGUUUAGGACAUUAGACAGGGCUCUGGAGAUCAGGGUUCAAAUCCCUAGUCAGCC
Non-coding RNA from Phrynosoma platyrhinos (Desert horned lizard), 70 nucleotides. Lineage: Eukaryota; Metazoa; Chordata; Lepidosauria; Squamata; Phrynosomatidae. The record is from the annotation of a GenBank genome assembly.